Synchiropus splendidus (mandarinfish) is the source of this 279-nucleotide long non-coding RNA. RefSeq lists it as uncharacterized. NCBI's taxonomy places the organism in Eukaryota, Metazoa, Chordata, Actinopteri, Syngnathiformes, Callionymidae. The record is from RefSeq and is a predicted model, not a curated record. The transcript has 3 exons.
AGUGGAAUGAGUGCUGAUGUGGGCAUUAGUAGAUCACAUAGAAGCUCUCACAUGACCAGACUGCCCAGAAGGCAUCAUGUUCUCUCCCCACCCCCAGCCAUCUGAGACGAGACUCUUGGGAGGCCCAAGCAUGUUCGAGUGUGUCCAACUGACAGCAGCAGACCUCAGACAUGCUCAUGGUACUGCACUGGUUGCCCCAUGAGGAGCAACAGGAGGAGGCCGAAGAAAAAGGGAGUCGGGACGUCCAUCUCUGUGAUGCUCUGCAUCCGUGCUCGUACC